RNAcentral lists this ribosomal RNA (253 nucleotides) under uncultured bacterium. RNAcentral describes it as "partial 16S ribosomal RNA". It matches the Rfam family "Bacterial small subunit ribosomal RNA", at positions 524 to 776 of the family's 1533-position model. The record is from RNAcentral.
UACGUAGGGAGCGAGCGUUGUCCGGAAUUACUGGGCGUAAAGGGUGCGUAGGUGGCCUAGCAAGUCAGAUGUGAAAUCCCCGGGCUUAACUCGGGGGGUGCAUUUGAAACUGCCAGGCUUGAGUGCAGGAGAGGAAAGCGGAAUUCCUAGUGUAGCGGUGAAAUGCGUAGAUAUUAGGAGGAACACCAGUGGCGAAGGCGGCUUUCUGGACUGUAACUGACACUGAGGCACGAAAGCGUGGGGAGCAAACAGG